This 254-nucleotide ribosomal RNA is filed under the name uncultured bacterium. RNAcentral's name for it is "partial 16S ribosomal RNA". It matches the Rfam family "Bacterial small subunit ribosomal RNA", at positions 524 to 776 of the family's 1533-position model. The record is from RNAcentral.
UACGUAGGGGGCGAGCGUUGUCCGGAUUUAUUGGGCGUAAAGAGCUCGUAGGCGGUUUGUCGCGUCUGCUGUGAAAACUGGAGGCUCAACCUCCAGCCUGCAGUGGGUACGGGGCAGACUAGAGUGCGGUAGGGGAGAUUGGAAUUCCUGGUGUAGCAGUGAAAUGCGUAGAUAUCAGGAGGAAUACCGAUGGCGAAGGCAGGUCUCUGGGCUGACACUGACGCUCAUGCACGAAAGCGUGGGGAGCAAACAGG